This 342-nucleotide unclassified non-coding RNA is filed under the name soil metagenome. RNAcentral describes it as "partial contains 5.8S ribosomal RNA, internal transcribed spacer 2, and large subunit ribosomal RNA". The stretch from base 1 to 120 matches the Rfam family "5.8S ribosomal RNA", at positions 35 to 154 of the family's 154-position model. The record is from RNAcentral.
GAUGAAGAACGUAGCGAAAUGCGAUAAGUAAUGUGAAUUGCAGAAUUCAGUGAAUCAUCGAAUCUUUGAACGCACAUUGCGCCCGCUAGUAUUCUGGCGGGCAUGCCUGUCCGAGCGUCAUUUCAACCCUCAAGCCCCCGGGCUUGGUGUUGGGGAUCGGCGAGCCUCCGCGCCCGCCGUCCCCUAAAUCUAGUGGCGGUCUCGCUGUAGCUUCCUCUGCGUAGUAGCACACCUCGCACUGGGAAACAGCGCGGCCACGCCGUUAAACCCCCAACUUCUGAACGUUUGACCUCGGAUCAGGUAGGAAUACCCGCUGAACUUAAGCAUUCAAUAAGCGGAGGA